UGGGGAAUAUUGCACAAUGGGCGAAAGCCUGAUGCAGCAACGCCGCGUGAGUGAUGAAGGUCUUCGGAUUGUAAAGCUCUGUCUUUUGGGACGAUAAUGACGGUACCAAAGGAGGAAGCCACGGCUAACUACGUGCCAGCAGCCGUGGUAAUACGUAGGUGGCGAGCGUUGUCCGGAUUUACUGGGCGUAAAGGGUGCGUAGGCGGAUGUUUAAGUGAGAUGUGAAAUACCCGGGCUUAACUUGGGUGCUGCAUUUCAAACUGGAUAUCUAGAGUGCAGGAGAGGAGAAUGGAAUUCCUAGUGUAGCGGUGAAAUGCGUAGAGAUUAGGAAGAACACCAGUGGCGAAGGCGAUUCUCUGGACUGUAACUGACGCUGAGGCACGAAAAGCGUGGGUAGCAAACAGGAUUAGAUACCCUGGUAGUCCACGCCGUAAAACGAUGAGUACUAGGUGUAGGAGGUAUCGACCCCUUCUGUGCCGCAGUAAACACA
RNAcentral lists this ribosomal RNA (490 nucleotides) under uncultured bacterium. Its description in RNAcentral is "partial 16S ribosomal RNA". It matches the Rfam family "Bacterial small subunit ribosomal RNA", at positions 355 to 859 of the family's 1533-position model. The record is from RNAcentral.